CCCCUUUUUCAUUACAUUUUAGCUUAAUUUCUUUGGCUCCUGUAUGUUUACUGCUCCAUGUUGUAAUUCAACUGAGACAUUGGUCUUAACUCUUAACUGAUAAAUCCAAGUACAGUUUUUUGUAAUUCCUUGUGCAGACUCUAGGGUAUGCCCCUCUAACAUAUCAGGAUUCCAACCUGGAGAAGUAUUCAUGAUACGUAACAUCGCCAAUCUUGUACCUGUGAUGAAGAAUGGAUCAUUAGAGUGUAAUGUUGCUCUUGAGUUUGCAGUAACUACUCUUGAGGUGAAUAAGGUGCUUCAGUUGGGCUGGUCUGCUUCAAAUUUUUAUUUUGGGGUCAGAUGUUAAUUCUUCAGGUAUCAUCUUUGUAACAUGCCAUAAAUUUAUAAUGCAUGUUUUUGCAAUUUAC
Lotus japonicus is the source of this 407-nucleotide long non-coding RNA. RefSeq lists it as uncharacterized. Lineage: Eukaryota; Viridiplantae; Streptophyta; Magnoliopsida; Fabales; Fabaceae. The record is from RefSeq and is a predicted model, not a curated record. The transcript is spliced from 3 exons.